RNAcentral lists this ribosomal RNA (240 nucleotides) under uncultured bacterium. Its description in RNAcentral is "partial 16S ribosomal RNA". It matches the Rfam family "Bacterial small subunit ribosomal RNA", at positions 42 to 266 of the family's 1533-position model. The record is from RNAcentral.
UUAAGCGUGCCUAAUACAUGCAGUCGAGCGAACGAGANGAGCUUGCUCCUUCGACGUAGCGGCGGACGGGUGAGUAACACGUGGGCACCUACCUUAUAGUUGGGAUAACUCCGGGAAACCGGGGUCUAAUACCGAAUAAUCUAUUUUAUCUUCAUGGUGAAAUACUGAAAGACGUGUUUCGUGUUGUCGCUAUAAGAUAGGGCCCGCGGCGCAUUAGCUAGUUGGUUGAGGUAACGGCUC